CGCGGUAAUACGUAGGUGGCAAGCGUUAUCCGGAAUUAUUGGGCGUAAAGCGCGCGUAGGCGGUUUUUUAAGUCUGAUGUGAAAGCCCACGGCUCAACCGUGGAGGGUCAUUGGAAACUGGAAAACUUGAGUGCAGAAGAGGAAAGUGGAAUUCCAUGUGUAGCGGUGAAAUGCGCAGAGAUAUGGAGGAACACCAGUGGCGAAGGCGACUUUCUGGUCUGUAACUGACGCUGAUGUGCGAAAGCGUGGGGAUCAAACAGGAUUAGAUACCCUGGUAGUCCACGCCGUAAACGAUGAGU
RNAcentral lists this ribosomal RNA (299 nucleotides) under Staphylococcus aureus. RNAcentral describes it as "partial 16S ribosomal RNA". It matches the Rfam family "Bacterial small subunit ribosomal RNA", at positions 516 to 814 of the family's 1533-position model. Lineage: Bacteria; Bacillati; Bacillota; Bacilli; Caryophanales; Staphylococcaceae. The record is from RNAcentral.